Dictyostelium purpureum is the source of this 85-nucleotide transfer RNA. It matches the Rfam family "tRNA". From Rfam's summary of the family: Transfer RNA (tRNA) molecules are approximately 80 nucleotides in length. NCBI's taxonomy places the organism in Eukaryota, Evosea, Eumycetozoa, Dictyosteliales, Dictyosteliaceae. The record is from Rfam.
CCGGCUUUGGCGCAAUGGUAGCGCGAUUGACUGUAGUGAUUAUAUUGUUAUCAAUCGGUUGCUAGUUCGAGUCUGGCAAGCCGGA